Molecule: ribosomal RNA, 301 nt
Filed under: uncultured bacterium
Lineage: Bacteria
Description: partial 16S ribosomal RNA
Rfam family: Bacterial small subunit ribosomal RNA
Source: RNAcentral
CAGCCGCCGCGGGAAUACGUAGGUGGCAAGCGUUGUCCGGAAUUAUUGGGCGUAAAGGGCUCGCAGGCGGUUUCUUAAGUCUGAUGUGAAAGCCCCCGGCUCAACCGGGGAGGGUCAUUGGAAACUGGGAAACUUGAGUGCAGAAGAGGAGAGUGGAAUUCCACGCGUAGCGGUGAAAUGCGUAGAGAUGUGGAGGAACACCAGUGGCGAAGGCGACUCUCUGGUCUGUAACUGACGCUGAGGAGCGAAAGCGUGGGGAGCGAACAGGAUUAGAGACCCGAGUAGUCCCUGUUUCUUAUAC